UGAUUUUGCUAAUCCAAUUUUACGUAUUUCAAAAUUAAUAAUGUAAUUAGAAAAUAUUUGGAGAAUCAUGCACUUUCAGCUUAUGUGUAUUUUAAUGCCAAAAAUACCCUUCACCUUGCCAGCUAAGCGUUCCACAUCUGAAAAUUCAGAAGAGAAAAACCCUCCGAAAAGCCACAAAGCCAAUAUCUCUCUCAUAUACUGCUUUUCCCAUUCUCUCCCAUUCUCAAUCUCAGAAACCCAAAAUGCUGUAAAACCUAACCUCUUUCAUUUCUGUAACAUUCUCGUCUCCCAUUUUGUUGAUAAACAUCAACAGCCCAAAACCUAACGUUCCCAAAAAAAAAAGUUAUAAUGCUGCGGAGGAGAAGAAUUUAUCAGGUGGAUGUGUUGGUAAAUGAGAAACGAAUCAGAAGGAAGAGACACGGGACUACGGAGGAAACCGGGAAAGGUGAUAUCCUUUUUGUUCCCAAAUUACUUGAUCCAGAAACCCUAAUUUCUGAAACGAAGAUCAGAUCAGGGGAAAAUUGGUGAUCGGAAUCAAUGGUGGGUGCAUCGAGCUCAUGGUCUCGCGCACUGGUUCAGAUCUCACCUUACACCUUCUCCGCCAUUGUCGUGUCCGUCUUGGGUGUCGCUUGGGAAUUUAUAUAACUGGAAGUAGUUUAAUUGGUGUUGCCAUCAAAGCUCUUCGGAUUACUUCAAAAAAUCUGAUCAGGUGA
Molecule: long non-coding RNA, 713 nt
Organism: Vitis riparia (riverbank grape)
Lineage: Eukaryota; Viridiplantae; Streptophyta; Magnoliopsida; Vitales; Vitaceae
Exons: 2
Source: RefSeq, a predicted model, not a curated record